Molecule: ribosomal RNA, 465 nt
Filed under: uncultured bacterium
Lineage: Bacteria
Description: bacterial SSU rRNA
Rfam family: Bacterial small subunit ribosomal RNA
Source: RNAcentral
CCAGACUCCUACGGGAGGCAGCAGUGAGGAAUAUUGGUCAAUGGGCUUACGCCUGAACCAGCCAAGUCGCGUGAGGGAAGACUGCCCUAUGGGUUGUAAACCUCUUUUGUCAGGGAGCAACGCCGGCUACGUGUAGCCGGACUGAGAGUACCUGAAGAAAAAGCAUCGGCUAACUCCGUGCCAGCAGCCGCGGUAAUACGGAGGGUGCGAGCGUUAAUCGGAAUUACUGGGCGUAAAGCGCUCGUAGGCGGUAUGUCAAGUCAAGGGUGAAAUCCCCGCGCUCAACGUGGGAACUGCCUUUGAAACUGGCAAACUGGAGUGUGUGAGAGGAUAGUGGAAUUCCAGGUGUAGGAGUGAAAUCCGUAGAUAUCUGGAGGAACAUCAGUGGCGAAGGCGACUAUCUGGCACAUAACUGACGCUGAGGAGCGAAAGCGUGGGUAGCAAACAGGAUUAGAUACCCCCGUA